CCAGGAGAGCUGCCCAGUGUGGCAGGAAGAGACAGAGGGAGAGCCUGGAACAUCGGGCAAGUUGAAUUCCUCUGUCUCUAGUUAUAUUUAUAGAUGUAUACAGUUAUGUUUAUUUAUCUAGGUAGUUGUAUUUCUAGAUUUAUGUAACUAUAUUUAUAUAUCUAUACAGAUAGAGAUCUGUACAGUUAAAUUAUUUUUCGUUUUAUAUGUUUAUGGUUAAGCUUUAGAUGUGUUGUUAUAGGUGUGCACAGUUGCAUUUAUAGCUCUGUAUAGUUACAUGUACAUAUAUAUAUUUGUAAAUGCAUUUUUCUAUUUUAUAUGGGGGUUUGGCUACAUAGAUUGUUAUGUGUGAGCCUCUUUUUAAGCUCUUGCCCUGCUCUGCUUCCUCGCUCACCUCUGGCUUUUCCCCCUGUGCCCCCUGUGUCCCCUCUCCCUGGGCUGGGUCCGAGCUGGCGGCCGGGCCGGGCGCAGCAGCAGUUCCAGCCCCGGAUGUCCCUGGAGCGCUGGGAGCUGCCGGUGGCCCCAGGCACUGUCCCCUGAGGAGCUGCUGAAGGACGCUGCAAUGAAGACCUCGAGGACCGCCGGAGACUGCCGGGAGCCAGCAGGGAGAAGCCGAGGGCCGGGAGCAGGAGCAGGGAGCAAGGCCCUGCUGCUGCCAGCCUGGAGAGAGCCCGGAUGUCCCAUCUGCUGUCCCUGUCCAGGGGAGCUGCUCUGCCCGGGAGGAAGAGGCCGAGGGAGAGGCUUUGAAGAUGGGGCAGUUGGGAUCCCUCUUCUUGAAGUUCUCUUUAAAGAUUGCACAAAGGCAGUGAUAAUUACAUGGAUAUUUACAUAUGUAGGCUGCUAUUUGUACAGGAAUAUUUCUAGAUGUAUGUUGUUAUAUUUAUGGAUGUAUUAUGUAUAUAUGUAUUCAUAUAUAUACAUGUGUUUGUAAUUACAUCUAUGUCUAUAUACAUAUCUAAGUAUACAUGGAUGUUGUUAUAUCUGUGUUUAGUUUUAUUUCCUAGGUUUUUUGCUGUGUGGGUAUCUAUUUAUAUUGAUGCAGUUAUAGGCAUAUGGCUCUUUAAAUAGUUAUAUUGAUAUUUACAUAGGUAUAUAUGUCUAUUUUUAUAUGUAUAUUGACCCAUUUCUAUAUGUAAUUAUAUUUACAUAAGUGUCCAGAUGUAUACCUGUAUAUUUGUAUUGAUGCAUUUGUAUGGUUAUUUAGCUUGGCAUAAUGAUACAUAACAAACAAUCUAUACAUACAAAAAUAUAAUUUUAUAUGUAUAUGCUAUUUUAAAUCUCUAUUUACAUCUGUAGAUUUUUAUAUAUUUAUUUAUAUGUAUUUAUGUAUAUAUAGAUGUAUUUCAUUUUAUUUCAAUACUUAUGGAGUGGUAUAUUUGUAUAAUUCUAUCGGUUCUAUGUAUAAUUCUAUGAGUACUUGAUACAGGGCUACUUAGAGAAUUCAUAUUUUUGUAUUUCUAUACGGGCUAUACCUUUCUAGUAAUAUGUAAUAAAUUAAGUUGUUCAACUCCUAAUUGAUCUUUGUGUAUAGUGAGUUGUUUUAAAGGUUGGCAAUAAAUUAAAUUUUGUUAACGG
Passer montanus (Eurasian tree sparrow) is the source of this 1575-nucleotide long non-coding RNA. RefSeq lists it as uncharacterized. NCBI's taxonomy places the organism in Eukaryota, Metazoa, Chordata, Aves, Passeriformes, Passeridae. The transcript is spliced from 3 exons. The record is from RefSeq and is a predicted model, not a curated record.